Pogoniulus pusillus (Red-fronted tinkerbird) is the source of this 893-nucleotide long non-coding RNA. RefSeq lists it as uncharacterized. NCBI's taxonomy places the organism in Eukaryota, Metazoa, Chordata, Aves, Piciformes, Lybiidae. The record is from RefSeq and is a predicted model, not a curated record. The transcript has 2 exons.
ACAGAGUAAUUCAAGUUGGAAAAGAACUCAGGAGAUGAUCUAAUCCAACCUCCUGCAGGGUCAGCCAUGAGAUCAGAUCACUUCACCCAGAGCUUUUUCCAGACUGGUCAUGAAGCCCUCCAAUGAUGGAGACUGCUUAACUGUCCUCAUAUUUGAAAAGCUUUUGCUUAUACUCACUCAGAACCUCUUGGUUUUGUCUAUGCAUAUUGUCCUCUGCCCUUCUGCAACACACCACUACCUCCAUCUUCUUGGUGACUCCCUUAUAUGUACAGGAAUGCUGCUCCCAAAGUCGUAUCUUCUCCAAGCCAAACAAGUCCUCCCUCUUCCUGAGCCACCUCUGAUCAUCAUGGUGGUUCAGUAGUGCUGACCUCACCCCAGAUAAUAAAGUGUCCCUAAAACUGGAUGCAGUAUUCUAGAUGUGGUCUGAUGAGUGCUGAGUCAAGGGGGAUAAUGACUCCCUUCUGAUCAGCAGGUCCUGUGCUCCUGUUUAUACCAUCCAGCAUGCUGCUGCUGCCUUUGCUGUCUGGGCAGACUGCUAGUUCACAUCUACUGAGAUCUUUCACUGCAGAGCUGCUCCCCAGGUAUUGACGGGAGAGCAUUUUGGGAUUGUUUUACCUAAGUUUUCAAUUUAGACAUGAAAACCUGUAAGAGGACCACUGUAAAAAACUCUAAAACCAAUUUGCUUCAUUUGGAAAGCUAUCAAAAGCACAACAGAGUGAGGACCUUUGUGAAAAUCAUUGCUUAUGAAUGUAUUAAUAAGGUGGUAUGACAAGGAUUUAUAAGAUUAAAUGUUUCUGCUCACAUUGCAGUGUUAAGGUACAAGCCUCCCACUGUGUCAUAUUAUGCCAGAGAUCCUUAAAUAAAUGAUCUUGGUCUGGACCAAUGUGAAAUUA